AACAUGGCUAUGACCCACUGCAUCUGGAUGAGGAUCCUUGGCUCCAUAUACCCAGAAGUGGAAGAGAAACCUGUGUUGGUAGAUGGUUGGAAGAUCUAUCAUUAAAACUAAUUUAUUUCAGUCAUCUCUUUCUUUUUCAAAACGAAAGGACCUUUGGGCAGCAAUGAAGGAAGGAAGGAAGGAAGGUAGGAAGGAAGGAGAAAAAUACAUUAUCCAAGAACUGAAAGUCACCAGAUCACCACAUCCAUGAGAUGCCAGACCCCUCAUUUAUCCUUACUGCUUCCUUGCCCCCUCC
Symphalangus syndactylus (siamang) is the source of this 295-nucleotide long non-coding RNA. RefSeq lists it as uncharacterized. Lineage: Eukaryota; Metazoa; Chordata; Mammalia; Primates; Hylobatidae. The record is from RefSeq and is a predicted model, not a curated record.